GGGUUGUGAGGUUAAGCGACUAAGCGUACACGGUGGAUGCCCUGGCAGUCAGAGGCGAUGAAGGACGUGCUAAUCUGCGAUAAGCGUCGGUGAGGUGAUAUGAACCGUUAUAACCGGCGAUUUCCGAAUGGGGAAACCCAGUGUGUUUCGACACACUAUCAUUAACUGAAUCCAUAGGUUAAUGAGGCGAACCGGGGGAACUGAAACAUCUAAGUACCCCGAGGAAAAGAAAUCAACCGAGAUUCCCCCAGUAGCGGCGAGCGAACGGGGAGGAGCCCAGAGCCUGAAUCAGUGUGUGUGUUAGUGGAAGCGUCUGGAAAGGCGCGCGAUACAGGGUGACAGCCCCGUACACAAAAAUGCACAUAUUGUGAGCUCGAUGAGUAGGGCGGGACACGUGGUAUCCUGUCUGAAUAUGGGGGGACCAUCCUCCAAGGCUAAAUACUCCUGACUGACCGAUAGUGAACCAGUACCGUGAGGGAAAGGCGAAAAGAACCCCGGCGAGGGGAGUGAAAAAGAACCUGAAACCGUGUACGUACAAGCAGUGGGAGCCUCUUUAUGGGGUGACUGCGUACCUUUUGUAUAAUGGGUCAGCGACUUAUAUUCUGUAGCAAGGUUAACCGAAUAGGGGAGCCGAAGGGAAACCGAGUCUUAACUGGGCGUUAAGUUGCAGGGUAUAGACCCGAAACCCGGUGAUCUAGCCAUGGGCAGGUUGAAGGUUGGGUAACACUAACUGGAGGACCGAACCGACUAAUGUUGAAAAAUUAGCGGAUGACUUGUGGCUGGGGGUGAAAGGCCAAUCAAACCGGGAGAUAGCUGGUUCUCCCCGAAAGCUAUUUAGGUAGCGCCUCGUGAAUUCAUCUCCGGGGGUAGAGCACUGUUUCGGCAAGGGGGUCAUCCCGACUUACCAACCCGAUGCAAACUGCGAAUACCGGAGAAUGUUAUCACGGGAGACACACGGCGGGUGCUAACGUCCGUCGUGAAGAGGGAAACAACCCAGACCGCCAGCUAAGGUCCCAAAGUCAUGGUUAAGUGGGAAACGAUGUGGGAAGGCCCAGACAGCCAGGAUGUUGGCUUAGAAGCAGCCAUCAUUUAAAGAAAGCGUAAUAGCUCACUGGUCGAGUCGGCCUGCGCGGAAGAUGUAACGGGGCUAAACCAUGCACCGAAGCUGCGGCAGCGACACUAUGUGUUGUUGGGUAGGGGAGCGUUCUGUAAGCCUGUGAAGGUGGCCUGUGAGGGUUGCUGGAGGUAUCAGAAGUGCGAAUGCUGACAUAAGUAACGAUAAAGCGGGUGAAAAGCCCGCUCGCCGGAAGACCAAGGGUUCCUGUCCAACGUUAAUCGGGGCAGGGUGAGUCGACCCCUAAGGCGAGGCCGAAAGGCGUAGUCGAUGGGAAACAGGUUAAUAUUCCUGUACUUGGUGUUACUGCGAAGGGGGGACGGAGAAGGCUAUGUUGGCCGGGCGACGGUUGUCCCGGUUUAAGCGUGUAGGCUGGUUUUCCAGGCAAAUCCGGAAAACCAAGGCUGAGGCGUGAUGACGAGGCACUACGGUGCUGAAGCGACAAAUGCCCUGCUUCCAGGAAAAGCCUCUAAGCAUCAGGUAACAUCAAAUCGUACCCCAAACCGACACAGGUGGUCAGGUAGAGAAUACCAAGGCGCUUGAGAGAACUCGGGUGAAGGAACUAGGCAAAAUGGUGCCGUAACUUCGGGAGAAGGCACGCUGAUAUGUAGGUGAAGCGACUUGCUCGUGGAGCUGAAAUCAGUCGAAGAUACCAGCUGGCUGCAACUGUUUAUUAAAAACACAGCACUGUGCAAACACGAAAGUGGACGUAUACGGUGUGACGCCUGCCCGGUGCCGGAAGGUUAAUUGAUGGGGUUAGCGGCAACGCGAAGCUCUUGAUCGAAGCCCCGGUAAACGGCGGCCGUAACUAUAACGGUCCUAAGGUAGCGAAAUUCCUUGUCGGGUAAGUUCCGACCUGCACGAAUGGCGUAAUGAUGGCCAGGCUGUCUCCACCCGAGACUCAGUGAAAUUGAACUCGCUGUGAAGAUGCAGUGUACCCGCGGCAAGACGGAAAGACCCCGUGAACCUUUACUAUAGCUUGACACUGAACAUUGAGCCUUGAUGUGUAGGAUAGGUGGGAGGCUUUGAAGUGUGGACGCCAGUCUGCAUGGAGCCGACCUUGAAAUACCACCCUUUAAUGUUUGAUGUUCUAACGUUGGCCCGUAAUCCGGGUUGCGGACAGUGUCUGGUGGGUAGUUUGACUGGGGCGGUCUCCUCCUAAAGAGUAACGGAGGAGCACGAAGGUUGGCUAAUCCUGGUCGGACAUCAGGAGGUUAGUGCAAUGGCAUAAGCCAGCUUGACUGCGAGCGUGACGGCGCGAGCAGGUGCGAAAGCAGGUCAUAGUGAUCCGGUGGUUCUGAAUGGAAGGGCCAUCGCUCAACGGAUAAAAGGUACUCCGGGGAUAACAGGCUGAUACCGCCCAAGAGUUCAUAUCGACGGCGGUGUUUGGCACCUCGAUGUCGGCUCAUCACAUCCUGGGGCUGAAGUAGGUCCCAAGGGUAUGGCUGUUCGCCAUUUAAAGUGGUACGCGAGCUGGGUUUAGAACGUCGUGAGACAGUUCGGUCCCUAUCUGCCGUGGGCGCUGGAGAACUGAGGGGGGCUGCUCCUAGUACGAGAGGACCGGAGUGGACGCAUCACUGGUGUUCGGGUUGUCAUGCCAAUGGCACUGCCCGGUAGCUAAAUGCGGAAGAGAUAAGUGCUGAAAGCAUCUAAGCACGAAACUUGCCCCGAGAUGAGUUCUCCCUGAGACUUAGAGUCUCCUGAAGGAACGUUGAAGACGACGACGUUGAUAGGCCGGGUGUGUAAGCGCAGCGAUGCGUUGAGCUAACCGGUACUAAUGAACCGUGAGGCUUAACCUUACAACGCCGAAGCUGUU
Molecule: ribosomal RNA, 2930 nt
Filed under: Escherichia coli
Lineage: Bacteria; Pseudomonadati; Pseudomonadota; Gammaproteobacteria; Enterobacterales; Enterobacteriaceae
Description: 23S ribosomal RNA
Rfam family: Bacterial large subunit ribosomal RNA
Source: RNAcentral